CGAGGAUCCUACUGUCUCCCCCCUCUAAUCAGUGAAACUGAUCUCCCCGUGAAGAAGCGGGGAUAUACAUAUAAGACGAGAAGACCCCAUGGAGCUUUAAACCUGACAGCACCCGCUCAUUCUAUACCCCAUUAUUUGCCCGACCCCUGUCUGCUCAGUUUUAGGUUGGGGUGACCACGGAGUAUAAAAUAACCUCCAUGAAGAAGGGGAUAUUUCCCUUAUUAGAGAACCACACUUCCAAGAACUAAUAAAUUAAUUUUCAAUGACCCGAUACCCGAUAAUCGAUCAACGAACCAAGUUACCCUGGGGAUAACAGCGCAAUCCACCCUGAAAGCCCUUAUUAACAGGUGGGUUUACGACCUCGAUGUUGGAUCAGGGUAUCCCAGUGGUGCAGCAGCUACUGAGGGUUCGUUUGUUCAACGAUUAAAACCCU
RNAcentral lists this ribosomal RNA (433 nucleotides) under Boophis quasiboehmei. RNAcentral describes it as "partial 16S ribosomal RNA". It matches the Rfam family "Bacterial large subunit ribosomal RNA", at positions 2005 to 2597 of the family's 2925-position model. Lineage: Eukaryota; Metazoa; Chordata; Amphibia; Anura; Mantellidae. The record is from RNAcentral.